CCUACGGGAGGCAGCAGUAGGGAAUAUUGCUCAAUGGGGGAAACCCUGAAGCAGCAACGCCGCGUGGAGGAUGAAGGUUUUCGGAUGGUAAACUCCUUUUGUUAGAGAAGAUAAUGACGGUAUCUAACGAAUAAGCACCGGCUAACUCCGUGCCAGCAGCCGCGGUAAUACGGAGGGUGCAAGCGUUACUCGGAAUCACUGGGCGUAAAGAGCGCGUAGGCGGGGUAGCAAGUCAGAUGUGAAAUCCUAUGGCUUAACCAUAGAACUGCAUUUGAAACUGUUAUUCUAGAGUAUGGGAGAGGUAGGUGGAAUUCUUGGUGUAGGGGUAAAAUCCGUAGAGAUCAAGAGGAAUACUCAUGGCGAAGGCGACCUGCUAGAACAUAACUGACGCUGAUGCGCGAAAGCGUGGGGAGCGAACAGGAUUAGAUACCCGUGUAGUC
RNAcentral lists this ribosomal RNA (440 nucleotides) under uncultured bacterium. RNAcentral describes it as "partial 16S ribosomal RNA". It matches the Rfam family "Bacterial small subunit ribosomal RNA", at positions 338 to 795 of the family's 1533-position model. The record is from RNAcentral.